RNAcentral lists this small nuclear RNA (301 nucleotides) under Jaculus jaculus (lesser Egyptian jerboa). RNAcentral describes it as "7SK RNA (ENSJJAG00000003994.1)". It matches the Rfam family "7SK RNA". Rfam says of the family: 7SK was discovered as an abundant small nuclear RNA in the mid-70s but a possible function has only recently been suggested. The record is from Rfam by way of RNAcentral. Lineage: Eukaryota; Metazoa; Chordata; Mammalia; Rodentia; Dipodidae.
GGAUGUGAGGGCGAUCUGGCUGCAACAUCUGUUACCCCAUUGAUCGCCAAGGUUGAUUCGGCUGAUUUGGCUGGCUAGGCAGGUGUCCCCUUCCUCCCUCACCGCUCCAUGUGCGUCCCUCCCGAAGCUGCGCGCUUGGUCGAAGAGGACGACCUUCCCCGAACAGAGGUGGACCGGUGUUCGGUCAAGGGUAUACGCGUAGCUGCGCUCCCCUGCUAGAACCUCCAAACAAGCUUUCAAGGUCCAAUAAUGCACUUUGGUAAAAAGACUAAGAAAACUUUCAGUGUGAGCAAAAAGGUUU